This 55-nucleotide ribosomal RNA is filed under the name uncultured bacterium. RNAcentral describes it as "partial 23S ribosomal RNA". The record is from RNAcentral.
GUGGAUGCCUUGGCGAUCACAGGCGAUGAAGGACGUGUAAGCCUGCGAAAAGCGU